Molecule: non-coding RNA, 73 nt
Organism: Perkinsus marinus ATCC 50983
Lineage: Eukaryota; Perkinsozoa; Perkinsida; Perkinsidae
Source: Rfam
GCCUCGGUAGCUCAGUCGGCAUAGUGCGUGCCUCUUGAGCCCGUGGCCGCGGGUUCGAGCCCCGCCCGAGGUG